UAAGAAGGAGCAGUUCAACCGCAUGUGGGAAGAAUGGGUUUUGAUGUUUUCAAUUCGUGGGGUCCACUAAGGAGCUUGAUGUGGUCUUGUAAGCAUUUACAUAUAUAUAUUGCAUCUGCCUUGAGAUAAGAAGAAUGUGUGUUGUUAGUCGAAAAUUUAGAGAAAAAGAAAGAAAAGAAAAAGGGAAAAAGAAGAAAGAAAGGAAAAAGUAAUGAUUAGUGGGGCCCACGAAAUUGUUUUUGUGGCCAUAAAUUCUUUGAACUUAGUCCUUCACGUGCGGGGUUGUCUGAUGGGCUUGAAAUGAGUGUAUUGCUUCAUUCAUGUGGGUUUUGUUGGCUGACAUUUUGUUUGAGUGGUGAGUGUUUUUGUUGGGUGUCAGUGGAAUUGUCUUUAUAAAGAGACUGUUUUGCAACUUUGGUAAUGAUACAAGCAGAAAGAAAAAUGGAGGAAAACAUAGUUAGCUGAGAGAGACACAAAGAAAUGAGAGUUGCAGAGAGAAGCCGCGAGGUUGCCGAGGAGGCUAGAAGCUUGAGGCUUUGAUGAUCUAGUGAGGAAAAUUCUUUUUUUCAAGGAUACGGAAAGGAAGUGGCGGACGACGCUCCUCUAUAGGUUUUAACGGGUUAGUGGACUGUUUGACAUAUUUUGUAGCUAUGAUCUCAUUUUAUUAUUAUUAUUAUUAUUAUUUUUAUAAA
This is a long non-coding RNA of Cornus florida, 692 nucleotides long. RefSeq lists it as uncharacterized. NCBI's taxonomy places the organism in Eukaryota, Viridiplantae, Streptophyta, Magnoliopsida, Cornales, Cornaceae. The transcript is spliced from 2 exons. The record is from RefSeq and is a predicted model, not a curated record.